UUUUCUUCCCUACAUCUCUUACAUUUUCUUCAUUCUUCAAUUGGAUAGUAUGAUACAAAUUUUAAGCAUUUCUUGUUAAACAAACAUUUAAUGGUAACCCCAUGGUAAUUAAAUAUCAGUGACUGAUAACAGGCGUUUGCAGCAAACGGUAUGUACGAACAUACAAACAUACGUACAUAUGUGCAUAUGGAAGCAACGAUGCAAAAUUUGUUUUGUUUUGCCAAUUUGAUUCGUUUGUAAUUCAUUCACAAUGAAUGACUAGACGCAAAUACGUACAUAUGUAUGUAGGAAGUAUGUAUGUAUAUGAGUUUACAUAUGUACA
This is a long non-coding RNA of Rhagoletis zephyria (snowberry fruit fly), 322 nucleotides long. RefSeq lists it as uncharacterized. NCBI's taxonomy places the organism in Eukaryota, Metazoa, Arthropoda, Insecta, Diptera, Tephritidae. The record is from RefSeq and is a predicted model, not a curated record.